GCUUACGGCCACACCGGCCUGAGUACGCCUGAUCUCGUCCGAUCUCACAAGCUAAGCAGGGUCGGGCCUGGUUAGUACUUGGAUGGGAGACCGCCUGGGAAUACCAGGUGCUGUAAGCU
Ribosomal RNA from Oncorhynchus mykiss (rainbow trout), 119 nucleotides. The record is from Ensembl. Lineage: Eukaryota; Metazoa; Chordata; Actinopteri; Salmoniformes; Salmonidae.